UGAGCCCCCGCCCCGCUUGAGGGGAGAAGGGCGGCGGCGCAGCUGGGCGGUCGGCCUGUCAAUCGGAGCUGUUUGGAGUUAUUUAGCAAUUGUUUUUUCACGCUCUGAGCUUCUGAUCCUUGGGCAGGUGGCGUAUAAGGCAGGCUAGGUUCGGUGUGUUGUAAAACAUUAAAGUACGAUGUGAUGAAAAAUUGUCUUCAGCAACUCGGAGCGCGAGCUUGUAACGUGGAAAGCGCGGUGUUAGGGACCGAGAAGCGCAGGGCUCUGCUGACCUCCAUCCGGCAGCCAGACGGGUCUCAGAAAUGCUGCAGGCUGAUGCAGAAGCAACUUUUCAAAUUAUCGGUGAAUUGCCACAGUCAGAGGGGUCUGCUGUGAGACCUGCUCCGAAAAGGUGUUUGGGUCCCGCUGAUUGUGGUGUUUAUAAAAGUAAGCGACUUGCUGAAAUUUUGUGUUCUUAACAUAGGUAUGCGGUAAUAUGAUAGAUUGGGCAGUGUUUUGUAGGAAUAACUCAGAUAAUAGGAAGUCAUUAUCUAGAGGAUGCUUAGUGUUUGGUUAGCACAGCGUUGGACUGAAUGCUGUGUUUCUGUGUCAGGUGACACAGGUGGUCGUGGAGCUAAUCACUGUACGUACGUAGUACUGCAAAUUCUAUGGGAUGCUGUCUUUGAUAUUUGUGGAAGGAACAUGCAGCAGGAAAUGGCAAAGAAGAAAAUGCCAGUAUUCUUCUCCAGAAGUCCUGAAAAUUGACAAACUAAUCUACAUCAAUCUAGCUUCUGCUGUUCAGCUCUACUGCAAUUUCAAAAAUGGAUCUGAACCUACUUGGCUUUUCACAGCCUGAUAAGAGUGGCGACUUACGAGGAUACUGAGUAAUUACAGCAGUCUCAUUUAUGUGGUAGCUGCUUUAAGUCGUUAUAAUUCUUAAUAUCACAGGGUGGCACUGAUACUGGCCUGAAUGGAGGUGCAAGAAAUUAUGUUACUGCUUUUGAAUGUGAAGGCUGCUCUGAAAGUAAUGCCUCCUGUGUUGUUAUGUUGGGCUGCUACAUCAGGGUGGAUAUUAGGGCAGUAGAGCUUGAACCUUCCCUCAGAUGUUCUGUUACAUUUUGUUGCUGUGUGAUAGAGGGCAGCAGAGAAGCAUUGUAACAAAACGAUGUCUGGUAUGGAAGCAUGUAUGAAGCAAAGAUGUGUAAUUGUGUUUCUCCAUGCAGAAAAAUGUCACCCAUUGAUAUCUGUGGAUGCUAGCUGAACAUUUAUGGAGGCCAGACAGUGAAUAUUAGCACAAUGAGGCAGUAGGUGAUGCGCUUCAGCAGUAGCAAGAGCGGGUCACCUUUGCUGGUUCAGAUUUUUACUAGCACAGCAUGCAGGCUUUUGUUCACUGCUGCUGAAAAUGCAUAGCUAGUGGUGGUGACUAUGCUGAAAACUACUGUUCUGUAACUGAAAGUUUGCUCUAUCAAAUAUUGUUAUCAUGCUCUUUCUAUCUGUAGGAGUUUCCGUGGAAAUAAAUAGGAGGCAUUACUUUUGUAGUGGCCUAUGUACAGAUUUUGUACUUGAGUGCUGUAGCAAAUAGCUGAUUGUUCUCAAAGGAUUGGAAAAAUCCUUGUAAUACCAUGCAUGCAACUGAAGUACAGGGCUAGUGAACUACUGUGUUGGACCGUGAGGCACAGCAUUUUCAGUAGGACUGUGAAGGACCAGUUUCUCUUCCUGUGCUUUUUCUGAAUAAAGUAUUUGUUCCUA
Long non-coding RNA from Tympanuchus pallidicinctus (lesser prairie-chicken), 1728 nucleotides. RefSeq lists it as uncharacterized. The transcript has 2 exons. The record is from RefSeq and is a predicted model, not a curated record. Lineage: Eukaryota; Metazoa; Chordata; Aves; Galliformes; Phasianidae.